CCUGGCCAAUAUGGUGAAACCCCUUCUCUACUAAAAAUACAAAAAUUAGCCUGGCUUGGCGGUAUGCGCCUGUAGCCCCUGCUACUUGGAGGACUGAGGUGGGAGAACGGCUUGAGCCCAGGAGACGGAGGGUGCAGUGAGCCA
Sapajus apella (tufted capuchin) is the source of this 144-nucleotide long non-coding RNA. RefSeq lists it as uncharacterized. The transcript is spliced from 2 exons. Lineage: Eukaryota; Metazoa; Chordata; Mammalia; Primates; Cebidae. The record is from RefSeq and is a predicted model, not a curated record.